Molecule: ribosomal RNA, 375 nt
Filed under: uncultured prokaryote
Description: bacterial SSU rRNA
Rfam family: Bacterial small subunit ribosomal RNA
Source: RNAcentral
AGGACGAACGCUGGCGGCGUGCUUAACACAUGCAAGUCGAACGAGGUCCAGCCGGUGGCAACACCAGCGAAGACCGAGUGGCGAACGGGUGAGUAACACGUGAGCAACCUACCCCGAGACCGGACGUAACACCGGAAACCGAACGUGCUAAUAACCGGACGUGCCCCCACCUUGGGUUCGGCAUGGCCGUCGAUGAGGAAAGUAGGGUUUCCGGUCCUUCGGGUAGGGGGCGUCGCGGCCGUACUCAGCUGGUUGGGUUGGAGGUAAACGGGCGUUACCCUAAACGGCGAACGAACGGGGUAGGCUGGUCGUGAGAGGACGAUCAGCCACACUGGGACGUGAGACACGGCCCGACGACUCCUACGGGAGGGCAGC